Molecule: small RNA, 476 nt
Filed under: Pongo abelii (Sumatran orangutan)
Lineage: Eukaryota; Metazoa; Chordata; Mammalia; Primates; Hominidae
Description: processed transcript
Source: RNAcentral
AAAAUGGCAGCGCUGGAGGAAGAAUUCACGUUGUCUUCGGUAGUCCUGAGCGCCGGGCCUGAAGGACUCCUAGGCGUGGAGCAGAGCGACAAAACAGACCAGUUUCUAGUGACAGACAGCGGCAGGACAGUCAUCCUCUAUAAGGUUUCUGAUCAGAAACCCUUGGGGAGCUGGUCAGUGAAACAAGGUCAAAUUAUAACAUGUCCAGCUGUGUGCAACUUUCAAACUGGAGAGUAUGUUGUUGUACACGAUAAUAAGGUUUUAAGAAUAUGGAAUAAUGAAGAUGUAAACCUGGAUAAAGUAUUUAAAGCUACAGCUGGAGUGCAAUGGCUCGAUCUCAACUCACUGCAACCUCCCCCUCCUGGGUUCAAGCAAUUCUCCUGCCUCAGCCUCCCGAGUAGCUGGGAUUACAGUUGUCAGCAGAAGUAUAUAGGAUACUUUCAGUGCAAGGGACAGAACCCUUGGUGCUCUUCAAG